GAUGAACGCUGGCGGCGUGCCUAAUACAUGCAAGUCGAGCGAACAGACGAGGAGCUUGCUCCUCUGACGUUAGCGGCGGACGGGUGAGUAACACGUGGAUAACCUACCUAUAAGACUGGGAUAACUUCGGGAAACCGGAGCUAAUACCGGAUAAUAUAUUGAACCGCAUGGUUCAAUAGUGAAAGACGGUUUUGCUGUCACUUAUAGAUGGAUCCGCGCCGCAUUAGCUAGUUGGUAAGGUAACGGCUUACCAAGGCGACGAUGCGUAGCCGACCUGAGAGGGUGAUCGGCCACACUGGAACUGAGACACGGCCCAGACUCCUACGGGAGGCCGCAGUCGGGAAUCUUCCGCAAUGGGCGAAAGCCUGACGGAGCAACGCCGCGUGAGUGAUGAAGGUCUUCGGAUCGUAAAACUCUGUUAUUAGGGAAGAACAAAUGUGUAAGUAACUAUGCACGUCUUGACGGUACCUAAUCAGAAAGCCACGGCUAACUACGUG
RNAcentral lists this ribosomal RNA (497 nucleotides) under uncultured bacterium. RNAcentral describes it as "partial 16S ribosomal RNA". It matches the Rfam family "Bacterial small subunit ribosomal RNA", at positions 28 to 507 of the family's 1533-position model. The record is from RNAcentral.